GAUUACGGCCAUACCACACUGACAACUUCUGAUCUCGGAAGCUAAGCAGAGUUGGGUUAGGUCAGUACUUGGAUGGGUGACCGCCUGGGAAUACCCGGUGCUGUAAGCA
Cottoperca gobio is the source of this 109-nucleotide ribosomal RNA. NCBI's taxonomy places the organism in Eukaryota, Metazoa, Chordata, Actinopteri, Perciformes, Bovichtidae. The record is from Ensembl.